CACCUCCUCCCUGACGCCCACUCCACUCUGCAGUCAGCUCUGCAGUCAGCUCAGUGUCCCACCCCUCACACCAGCUCUCAGGGAUGCCCCACCAUCCUCUUCAGGAGCCUGGAGCUGGAGACAGAAUUGUGAGGCCUGCCUCUCACCUGCUCCUUCUGACCCUGCCUCCCUGUGGCCUCCAAACAUGCCAGGUGCAGCCCUGCUGGGAUGCUGCCUUCCCAUCCCAGACGUUCUCAGGGAGGCCUCCCCACUCCUCUGCCUCCCUAGCUCCUGCCUUACUUUGUGGUCUGUCUCCCACUAGAAAGCCAGCUCCCAAGGGCAGGGGUUCUGCACUGCCGUUUCGUGCUACGUCCCAGAGCCUGGAACAGGCUGGUUCGACAGCACUCACGGGCCCGUUGCCCCAUGUGUCCCCAUCCAUGGUCCUCACAGGUGCCAGCCGUGCUCUCCCUCGGCUGCAGCCACCUCCACCAGCCUGGCUCAAGCUCUAAUGCAGUGAGAUAGGAGAGCCCUGGCCGGCUCACGAUGACUAGCUCACCGCCCUCUCAAGCAGACAGGCGCAGG
This 561-nucleotide long non-coding RNA is filed under the name Homo sapiens (human). RNAcentral's name for it is "non-protein coding lnc-TMEM8A-4:1". The record is from RNAcentral. Lineage: Eukaryota; Metazoa; Chordata; Mammalia; Primates; Hominidae.